GAGUUUGAUCGUGGCUCAGAUUGAACGCUGGCGGCAUGCCUUACACAUGCAAGUCGAGCGGCAGCGCGGGGGCAACCCUGGCGGCGAGCGGCGAACGGGUGAGUAAUACAUCGGAACGUGUCCAGUUGUGGGGGAUAACCAGUCGAAAGACUGGCUAAUACCGCAUACGAUCUACGGAUAGAAAGCGGGGGAUCGCAAGACCUCGCGCUAUUGGAGCGGCCGAUGUCCGAUUAGCUAGUUGGACGGGGUAAAGCCCACCAAGGCGACGAUCGGUAGCUGGUCUGAGAGGAUGAUCAGCCACACUGGAACUGAGACACGGUCCAGACUCCUACGGGAGGCAGCAGUGGGGAAUUUUGGACAAUGGGCGCAAGCCUGAUCCAGCCAUGCCGCGUGAGUGAAGAAGGCCUCGGUUG
This 413-nucleotide ribosomal RNA is filed under the name uncultured beta proteobacterium. RNAcentral's name for it is "bacterial SSU rRNA". It matches the Rfam family "Bacterial small subunit ribosomal RNA", at positions 9 to 425 of the family's 1533-position model. The record is from RNAcentral. Lineage: Bacteria; Pseudomonadati; Pseudomonadota; Betaproteobacteria.